GAUGAACGCUGGCGGCGUGCCUAAUACAUGCCAGUCGAGCGAACAGACGAGGAGCUUGCUCCUCUGACGUUAGCGGCGGACGGGUGAGUAACACGUGGAUAACCUACCUAUAAGACUGGGAUAACUUCGGGAAACCGGAGCUAAUACCGGAUAAUAUAUUGAACCGCAUGGUUCAAUAGUGAAAGACGGUUUUGCUGUCACUUAUAGAUGGAUCCGCGCCGCAUUAGCUAGUUGGUAAGGUAACGGCUUACCAAGGCAACGAUGCGUAGCCGACCUGAGAGGGUGAUCGGCCACACUGGAACGGAGACACGGUCCAGACUCCUACGGGAGGCAGCAGUAGGGAAUCUUCCGCAAUGGGCGAAAGCCUGACGGAGCAACGCCGCGUGAGUGAUGAAGGUCUUCGGAUCGUAAAACUCUGUUAUUAGGGAAGAACAAAUGUGUAAGUAACUAUGCACGUCUUGACGGUACCUAACCAGAAAGCCACGGCUAACUACGUG
Molecule: ribosomal RNA, 497 nt
Filed under: uncultured bacterium
Lineage: Bacteria
Description: partial 16S ribosomal RNA
Rfam family: Bacterial small subunit ribosomal RNA
Source: RNAcentral